AUCUAAUUAAUGUAAAAACUUCAAAUACACCCCUGUAGGUUCGUACUUUUUCACUUUAAUACCCUGUGAUACAUCAAUUUAGUACCCUAUGGUUUCACACUCUCUCACUUUAGUGUCUUGUAAUUUAAAGUGCAUCUAUUUAGUACCCUGUGAUUUUAUUUUUCUCUUUUCGUCGGCUUUUUUGUUAAUAUUUUGUUAAAUUAUAUACAAAAAAACUUCAAAUACCCUACCUAAAUUUAUCGAAUGUUUACUUUAGUACCCUUUAGUUUUAACUUUGUUACUGAUUUUUUUUCUUCCAUUAAUAUUUGGUUAAACUAUAUACAAAAAAACUUUAGAUACCCUACCUAGGUUUAUCGAAUAUUCACUUUAGUACCAUUUAAUUUUAACUUUAUCACUGAUUUAACAAAAAAAUUAGUGAAAUGGGUAAUAAAAAGAGAAAAAUAAAACCAGACGGUAAUAACUUGAUACACUUUAAACUACAGGACACUAAAGUGAGAAAGUGCGAAACCAUAGGGGCUAACUUGAUACAAUGGAUAAUAAAAAGAGAAAAAUGAAACCAUAGGGUACUAACUUGAUACAUUUUAAACCACAGAGUACUAAAGUGAGAAAGUGUGAAAGUGGUGAAACUAGGUUGGGGGGGGGGGGAGAGUUUACCCUUAAUUAAUUAUACAAGGAAAGAAGACACAAUAUAUCGUACUAAAAAAAGAAUUCUAGGAGUUCGUAGUUUAGGGCAUGUUUGUUUCAUCAAAAUUGGACUUUGAGUUGAAGUGGACUUUGAAUUGAAAUGGACUUCGGUAAAAAUUAUUUCUUUUCUACUGUUUGUUUCGUAGUUAUAAAAGUGAAGUUUCAUUAGUUCUGCUGUUUAUUUGAUAGGAAGUGUAUAAUAUAAAACUAUAAUUUAUGUAUAAAUAAUAAAUAAUUUAAUAAAUAAAAAUAAUAUAAUUAUAUUUUUUAUAUAAUUAAAAUUUAAUUUAAAACAACUAUAUUACUUUUUAAACAUAAAUUACAGUAAUACAGCAAUAAAAUUAUAAAGUAAAAAAAAUUAAUACUUAAUUAAUUAAUUUUUAUAAUAUUUAAUUGUACAAAUUAAAUAAAGAAAAUAUUAAAAUUUUACUAAUCAAUUUUUAUCAUAUUUUAAAUAUGUCAACUAAAUAAAAAAAAUAAUUAGUACCAUAAUUAAAUAUAUUUAAAUAUAACUAUCUUUACGUAGUAUAUUAUUUUAUUAUUUUUUUUUCAUCUCUUUUUACCGUAAUUGAUUUCGGCCCAUGAUCCUGUUUUAGGUUAACUCGAGUUUCGACCGUAAUUUAUUUACAGCUAGUCAAACAAUGGAAGUAAUCGUUUACGGCGAAAACGAUUUUCCUUCUCUCCACUUCUACGCCAAUUCCACCCAAACAAACAUGCCCUAAAACGUAAAGAUGGAGCGGCAUUAGCUGUUUCCUAUUCAUCGAUCUCUUCUCCGACUCCUCAUGCACUUCGAUCUUUUUUUAAAUCUUUUCUCUUUUUUUCUGUUCUUUUCUUUUCAAAUAAUAUAAUAUAAUAACUAAUUAAUAUAAAAAAAAUAAAUAUGAUAUUAAUUAAUAUUUAUAUUAUUUU
RNAcentral lists this long non-coding RNA (1593 nucleotides) under Ananas comosus (pineapple). RNAcentral describes it as "long non-coding RNA (ACOM_LNC026690)". The record is from RNAcentral. Lineage: Eukaryota; Viridiplantae; Streptophyta; Magnoliopsida; Poales; Bromeliaceae.